GAGGGAUAGUUAGGGGAUGAACCCCUCCAUAGUGCCAGCUCUCAAAGUCUCAAAUAGUGAAUUUGGAAGCGUGAAAAAACAGUUAAAUCUAUACAAUUAUCUCAUGUUUUUCUUUUCUUUCUCCCUCUUCACCAAUUUUUCCUUUUAUAUCCAUUUUGUGAUUAGGUCUGGAUACAGGUUUGUUUGAUUUUCGAUUUGAAGAAAUGGUUUGUGAUCUUGAUUCUUGGUUGAUUAAUUAGAUCAUGGUAUGGAUUUGUUUCAUUUUCGAUUUCGACAAAUGGGUUUGUGAUCGUGGUUGAUUCUAAAGUCUAAAUCUAAGAGAGUGGAAAUAAGAAUGUGGGUGUGACUCAGUUGAGUCAGUGAGUUAGUAACUGAGCCGAAACGGUGGGGGCAUGUAAAGGGGCGGGUGGAAAUAACUUCUUCUUCUCGGUUUAUCGACAUAUUCUGUUCUCUGUAUUUUUUCAUUCCAUUCCUCUCUGUAAAUUCAGUUUUCUUCUAUCCGAACAGACAUGAAUAUUUAGUCAUUUAACUUUUAAACCCUUUUAAGGUUUGUUUGUAUCAUAUUAAGUUAUGAAAGCGUCGAUUUGAUUAGUUUCUCAGAAUUGGCUUUUUUUCUUUUUGUAUUUUAGAUGAACACGAUCAUGAAAUCGAUCGAUUCUAAUCGAAUGAAUCUAUUUUUUUAUGUAAUUUGGCGACGUAAUUUGUUUGUUUAACUUCAUUUGAUCGAAAUCCAUCAUCAAUCUAAUCAAUUAUGUCGAUCUGUUUAUGAAUUUCCAGAAAUUAAAUUUUGUUUUUGUUUUUUUUGCACAAAGUUUGUGACGGACAUUUUUGUUUUUUUUUUCAAUACAUAGGGACUCCUCCCUUUGGUCGUCGUCCAAUAAUGAUAGUGGUAUUGUAAUCUCUUCUUCCAAGGGUCAAGCAUAUUAACACUUCGUGGUGUUCACUUAGAAUUCAAUUUUCUAUUCUAGUGUUGACUCAAUCUUCUUUCUUUUUGUUACAUCAAUUCCGUUUCAAAUCUCUACUUAUCUAUUUUCUCCUUCCUAAUCAAAUCCUUUAUUUAUUUCUCUCACUAAAUUAGGUCUUUUUUUUUUUUGAAGCAUUUGCAGCAUCAGAUAAAAAAAAAUCUUUGAAGUUUGAAGACGCCAAUUUGGAUUUUAUUGCACCUAAAUGGAUUCACAAUCUGGGUUCUAUAUCUUGCUUCGGUUUAUUUUGUAUGAAUUGAUUCCCUUUCAUGUUUUUCUUGUCUUUUUCUCUGAGAUUCCGUAAAAAUGAGCGCUAGAGGUGGGGUUAGAGAGUGUGCUUGGAUUUUAUGAUAGUGAAAUCCAUGAAGAUGGAUGAAAGUGAAGCACCAUACAUUUUAAAUGAUGUUUGAAAUGCUUGGAUGGUGUUAUCUACGUUGGCCCCCUUACUCAAACAUGGAGGGAUGUGAGUUUGACCGAAUGCACAACAUCUCAAACCAAGAGGGAGAAUUUAGUGUGGAACCAACACAACAGCCUGCCUGUGUUCAUAGUCCAUCAACAUUGGAGAUUCGAUAUGUCUAAGGAAAUGGUUGUAUCAUGGUUUGGUUUUUGUCGUGUUGACUUCCCUGUUUUUUUCUUUUUACAGAUUUAAGAAUUGGUCUAUAGACACCACUGUAUGGUACACGUUGGACAUAUGCUGCCAAGAUUUCUUAUAUAUUUACCUUGACACUUCCAUUAUUUCAAAAUCCACUUACCACUUACGAAAGAAGCACUUAGGUUUACUGAAGUAAUGAGCGAAGCUGGUCCUGUCAAAGGUGGCAGUGUUGUAAUUGCGUUUAUUGAAGAUCCAGACGGUUACAAGUUUGAUCUUUAGAGAGGGACCUACACCAGAGCUCAUGCCAAGUAAUGCUUCGUGUAGGUGAUCUUAACCACGCCCUAAAUUACUAUGAGAAGGUAAGGUUUGUUCGUUAAGGACAUGAUACCAUUUUGAAGUUAUCGUUUGACCGCGCUGUAAUUUAUUAGUACAUAUUUAUGCAUCUUUUAAUAGGAGUGUGUAUUUCUCCCUUUUACAUCGACUUCGGUGAGAUGUUCCAGACUCAAGUGUUAUGAAAACAGAUGAAUCAUCUGUUGGUUUGCAAUAUGUGUGGAAGUAGAUGUGAGUUUUAUUUUUCUGAUGUAGAUAUUUUGUUACUUUUUAGCCGCUGGCCGUUUAUGUGUGGAAGAAUGCUUCUGGGCUGUUGAUUACCAGUGGGAUGGUGAUCAAUUUGCAACAGCUGGUGCUCAAGUUGAUAUAUGGGAUCACAGUCAGAGCCCAUUUAAUUCUGGUGAACCAAAUAUUUUAUCCACAUCUAGCAGCAUUACCUUAUAUGAUCGGUUGUCAACUCCAGUGAGGAAGCUGAUUAUGCAGUACAACACUUCGGUGGAAGGAUGGUCAACAAUUUGAGUCAUGGGGAGGCUCAUAAGUCGGCAGUACAAGCAGCUAUCAAGCUACCAACAUGCAAACUUAUUGUACUGCGUCAACUAAAAGUUUGACAUUGCGACUCCAAAAAACAUGGACUAUUACUGGGUGUACCAAAUUGAAAGAUGCUUGCUAAGAAAUCCAACUCUUUACCUUUAGCCAAAUGAAUGAAGCUUUCACUUACGUACAGAAAGCACAGGGCAUACGUAUUUCUUCCUUCCAUUCCAUUAGCACGAGUACUAAGGAUCUCUGUGAUGGAAGAACUUAAAGUUAAUUGGAGCAGACGUAUCCAUACUUGCCCUAUUCUGUGCAAUGAAAGAUUUCAUGUAUUUUAGCUCAAGUAAACAAUAUGGGCAAGUACUUCAUUUAUUUGUAUAUCAGUUGUUGUUUUUUUGCCUUCAGAAUCCAACAAUGAUGAGUUCAUUUUCCCUUUAAAACAUUUUGUGAGAUUCCUUGAUGUAAUGUUAAAUUAAUAGAUAUAACAAAAUAACAGUUCUUGUUGUG
Molecule: long non-coding RNA, 2922 nt
Organism: Papaver somniferum (opium poppy)
Lineage: Eukaryota; Viridiplantae; Streptophyta; Magnoliopsida; Ranunculales; Papaveraceae
Exons: 8
Source: RefSeq, a predicted model, not a curated record